Cyprinus carpio carpio is the source of this 2195-nucleotide long non-coding RNA. NCBI's taxonomy places the organism in Eukaryota, Metazoa, Chordata, Actinopteri, Cypriniformes, Cyprinidae. The record is from Ensembl.
UAUAUAUAUAUAUACUGUAUAUAUAACUACACACACACAUAUCUACACUAUAUAUCUACUAUAAGCAAAGCUAAAUAGAUUGUUGCCACUGUGUUUCGGUGUGAAAUAUGAGCUGGAUGUGUUCUUGUGAGAUUCAUCAACGGGUCAAUAUUACCUCUUAUUAAACAGAUAAUUACUGUAGUAACGCUAACGUCAUCAAACACUAACCGGAUUAAUGAAGGACUCAUUAAAGUUCAUGAACUUUAUGAAACAAAGCCACUCAAAUGAAGACAGAAGAUCGUUCAGAAGCCAAACGACCUUUGACCUUUCACCGGAUGAGUGAUAUCUGUCAUAUUCUCAAUGUCUGCCAGUAUCAUCAUCAUCAUCCUUGUUCACUUCUCUUUAUUAUUUUUUUACUCUAAAAGCUAUUUUUAUGUACGAUACCAGUUAAUCGUUAUUUUUUCAUUAUUUUUCUAUAUACUGUGUUUUUGCCGGAUUUGUGUUGAAGGUCAUUUAUUUUGCUCGUGAUGAAUGUGUUGGGUGUGUGAGUGUGAGAGAGAGUUAAUCGUUAAUUUUUCAUUAUUUUUUAUAUACUGUGUUUUUGCCGGAUUUGUGUUGAAGGUCAUUUAUUUUGCUCGUGAUGAAUGUGUAUAGUGUGUGUGUGUUUGAGAGAGUGUGUGUGUGAGAGAGAGAGAGUGUGUGUGAGAGAGAGAGAGAGAGAGAGAGAGUGUGUGUGUGUGUGUGUGUGUGAGAGUGAGUGUGUGAAUCUCAGGAUCAGGGCUCUGGAAUGUUCUGAAUCUCUGAUAGUGAAGGAAUGUCGAUGAGUCAGAAAUGAGACGCUCCGCUGAGAAACAGCCAGUGUUUUAUUAACAAGCAGGGUUUCUGCAGGCUGUACAACUGAAGUCAGCAUGAGCUGUAUGUAAUGUAAAGGUCUAGGGAGCACAGUGAGUUUUAUUAGCAUCUGAAAAUACAUCUUCAACAGAUCUACAUUACUUUUUAAUUCAUUUUUAAAAAAAAAAAAAAAAAAAAACGUUAACCAAUUAACUCCAUUUCUUCACUAUUUUUGGCAUUUUUCCAGUGCAAAUGAAAAAUCAAGAUACAUUUACUUGAGAAGCGAAAUGACGUAAGAUAAGAAGUCGUUUUCUAAAAAUCUGAUAUUGUUGUAGAUCUAACCUGAAAUAAAAAAAAAUUAACUUAAUGACAUAAUUGAGCAUGAAUAUUGUUCAUUCAUUAAUAUUAAUAUUGAACAUAAGUAAAAUACCCUGAUUUAUUACAAUAAUAAUAUAUAGUUUUGUUGAUUUAAAAAAAAUAAUCUUAACAGGAAUUUGAAUGUUUGAAUAUUUAAAGCUCAUUAAAAUAAUGUCACAAUGCCAAAAAAAAAAGAAAAAAGAAAAGUUGUAAAAAAACAAGCUUUAUUUACUGAAACUGUCCUAAAAAAUGACCUCAUGAUUAAAACAAUCACAAAACCUGCGAAUACUUAACUUUCAUUCAAAAGUAAAACUCAUUUUCCACACAGUACUGACAUUCUUUCUUGAUUUGAGUAUAAACUCAGUUUUAAUUUCUUCAUUCCGCGUCUCCAGUAAAUGUGUCCUGAUUUAAAGAUGUUCAGAUAUUUGUACUGGAAAACAAGACAAAUACUGAGGAUUUAUUUAUUUUUUGUCUGUCUUCUCUGAAUUAAUACUUUUUAAGGCCUUAAUUUGUGUAAGGGUGAAUUAAGACCCACAGAAACCCUGAAAUCUAAACACUAUUAAAGAGCUUCUCAGCACAGCAGGCCUGAGCGGUGUUUGUCUGCACCGGAGGUGUUUAAGCAGCGGUGUCCGGGCAGGAGUGAGGGAAGACGUGCGGAUGAGCGAAGGCAGCGCUGAAGUCCAGCACAUCACUGACGUGACCCUUAAAGACACGCAGGUUCCUCAUGCAGCCGCGGAACGGCUCUCUGGAGCUCAGACAGUUCUGCUUCACGUCCGCUGCGAGAGAACAGACACACACUCAUCAGACGCUGGGGAAAGACACUUUUAAAAAUGGGGUUUUUGGUCUCGGCUGAGGUGGAGGAAGAGUACGGGUUCUCCGCGGUCACCGUCACGCCGUCUACGGUCAGACUCAAGCUGUGCUUCUGCUUCUUGGCCACCAGGGUCCGCCAGCGGCCGUCACACAUGGACACAGCGCUCCUGCUCCUCGCCGUGAUCCGACCCGCGCCGUUAUUCACGUUAAACACCACC